AACGCGAAGAACCUUACCUGGACUUAACAUGCAAGAGACAGUGGCAGAAAUGUCAUCUCCCGCAAGGGCUGUUGCAUAGGUGCUGCAUGGCUGUCGUCAGCUCGUGCCGUGAGGUGUUGGGUUAAGUCCCGCAACGAGCGCAACCCUUAUCAUUAGUUGCCAGCAUUUCGGAUGGGAACUCUAAUGAGACUGCCUGGGUUAACCAGGAGGAAGGUGAGGAUGACGUCAAGUCAGCAUGGCCCUUAUGUCCAGGGCGACACACGUGCCACAAUGGUCGAUACAGAAGGAAGCUAAGCCGCGAGGUGGAGCAAAUCCCAAAAGUCGAUCUCAGUUCGGAUUGCAGUCUGCAACUCGACUGCAUGAAGUUGGAAUUGCUAGUAAUGGCGUGUCAGCUAUAGCGCCGUGAAUACGUUCCCGGGCCUUGUACACACCGAGACGAC
This 440-nucleotide ribosomal RNA is filed under the name uncultured bacterium. RNAcentral's name for it is "bacterial SSU rRNA". It matches the Rfam family "Bacterial small subunit ribosomal RNA", at positions 958 to 1398 of the family's 1533-position model. The record is from RNAcentral.